Molecule: ribosomal RNA, 301 nt
Filed under: uncultured bacterium
Lineage: Bacteria
Description: partial 16S ribosomal RNA
Rfam family: Bacterial small subunit ribosomal RNA
Source: RNAcentral
CAGUCGCCGCGGUAAAACGAAGGGGGCUAGCGUUGCUCGGAAUGACUGGGCGUAAAGGGCGCGUAGGCGGAUUGUUUAGUUAGGCGUGAAAUUCCUGGGCUUAACCUGGGGACUGCGCUUAAUACAGGCAGUCUAGAGUGAGGAAGAGGGUUGUGGAAUUCCCAGUGUAGAGGUGAAAUUCGUAGAUAUUGGGAAGAACGCCGGUGGCGAAGGCGGCAACCUGGUCCUUGACUGACGCUGAGGCGCGAAAGCGUGGGGAGCAAACAGGAUUAGAUACCCCCGUAGUCCCUGUCUCUUAUAC